GAUGGUAGUGUAUUGGACUACCAUGGCUCUCACGGGUAACGGGGAAUUAGGGUUCGAUUCCGGAGAAGGAGCCUGAGAAACGGCUACUACAUCUAAGGAAGGCAGCAGGCGCGUAAAUUACCCAAUCCUGAUUCAGGGAGGUAGUGACAAGAAAUAACAACUCGGGUCCCUCUGGGACUGCGAGAUUGCAAUGAGAACAAUUUAAACCACUUAUCCAGGAACAAUUGGAGGGCAAGUCUGGUGCCAGCAGCCGCGGUAAUA
RNAcentral lists this ribosomal RNA (261 nucleotides) under uncultured eukaryote. RNAcentral's name for it is "partial 18S rRNA". It matches the Rfam family "Eukaryotic small subunit ribosomal RNA", at positions 324 to 584 of the family's 1831-position model. The record is from RNAcentral.